UACAUAUGAGGUUUAGUGUGACCUCAGUACGAGGGUUACUCCUUUUAGUGUAUGUAAUGGAGACUGUGUACACACAAGGUGAAGGGGCAUCAAGCUUCAGCCGUGAGGGAGGAGGGCAGUUCCCAGGCCCCUGUGUGUACGCUGGGGGGCAAUAACUCACAAGUUCCCUCAGAACUUCCUCUUUCGUCCCAGGUUUUUACGACCCCUGUAGACUGGAAUACAGCUGCUAAGGCUCUGCGAUGUGAAUCUAGGGAGCGUGAGAGAGGAGAAACAGGAGGAGAAAGAGGACAGCAGGAGAGCUGAUGGAGAAAGGAAAGGAGUCUGAAAGCCAAAAUGUUAAGAGUGAAGACUAGAGACCUGCACUCCUGUGGGAUCCGAUGCAACAGAUUGUGGCAUGUACAAGACUUGAUGGGUUGAAGACAGAUACGGCAGGUGUACUCAGCAGACACUAGAUGGCAGCAUUUCUCACAUGGAAUAACGAACGUGUCUUUUGGACAGCGAUUUGGAGAGAUUGGACACCAGUCUAUAAUGGACACCGGGAAUAAAGGACUAGUGGCAUUUCUGUACCAGACAAUCUCCAAGGAUCGAAAAGAAAAAUACUUUAUUGAUCAAAGCAUGAGAUGUUGCAAAACUUUUUAAAGGGUAUCCAGUGUGUCCAGUUAAAGUAAAGUACAGUUUCUAAUUUGUAGUCAGGCAGCCUUUUCUACAGGAAACAUGGUCAUGACCUGAAUUUUAAAGAGCCGAGUUGUCUUUUUCAGACACGGUUUAGGUCUCUUUACUUGUAUUCUCACUGGAAAUAGUUUUGUACUGUUGUUCUUUCUGCUUCCACCACUGAUUAAUGGUGCAUAUAUUAGUCAGCAGUAAAACACUGAUUAGGUGAUGAUAGAGCAGUCUCGGGU
Long non-coding RNA from Carassius auratus (goldfish), 899 nucleotides. RefSeq lists it as uncharacterized. NCBI's taxonomy places the organism in Eukaryota, Metazoa, Chordata, Actinopteri, Cypriniformes, Cyprinidae. The record is from RefSeq and is a predicted model, not a curated record. The transcript is spliced from 3 exons.